RNAcentral lists this ribosomal RNA (383 nucleotides) under uncultured bacterium. Its description in RNAcentral is "bacterial SSU rRNA". It matches the Rfam family "Bacterial small subunit ribosomal RNA", at positions 345 to 720 of the family's 1533-position model. The record is from RNAcentral.
GAGGCAGCAGUAGGGAAUCUUCGGCAAUGGACGGAAGUCUGACCGAGCAACGCCGCGUGAGUGAAGAAGGUUUUCGGAUCGUAAAGCUCUGUUGUAAGAGAAGAACGAGUGUGAGAGUGGAAAGUUCACACUGUGACGGUAUUUUACCAGAAAGGGACGGCUAACUACGUGCCAGCAGCCGCGGUAAUACGUAGGUCCCGAGCGUUGUCCGGAUUUAUUGGGCGUAAAGCGAGCGCAGGCGGUUAGAUAAGUCUGAAGUUAAAGGCUGUGGCUUAACCAUAGUACGCUUUGGAAACUGUUUAACUUGAGUGCAAGAGGGGAGAGUGGAAUUCCAUGUGUAGCGGUGAAAUGCGUAGAUAUAUGGAGGAACACCGGUGGCGAAA